UGGGGAAUAUUGCACAAUGGGCGCAAGCCUGAUGCAGCCAUGCCGCGUGUGUGAAGAAGGCCUUCGGGUUGUAAAGCACUUUCAGCGGGGAGGAAGGCGGUGAGGUUAAUAACCUCAUCGAUCGACGUUACCCGCAGAAGAAGCACCGGCUAACUCCGUGCCAGCAGCCGCGGUAACACGGAGGGUGCAAGCGUUAAUCGGAAUUACUGGGCGUAAAGCGCACGCAGGCGGUCUGUCAAGUCGGAUGUGAAAUCCCCGGGCUCAACCUGGGAACUGCAUUCGAAACUGGCAGGCUAGAGUCUUGUAGAGGGGGGUAGAAUUCCAGGUGUAGCGGUGAAAUGCGUAGAGAUCUGGAGGAAUACCGGUGGCGAAGGCGGCCCCCUGGACAAAGACUGACGCUCAGGUGCGAAAGCGUGGGGAGCAAACAGGAUUAGAUACCCUGGUAGUCCACGCUGUAAACGAUGUCGAUUUGGAGGUUGUGCCCUUGAGGCGUGGCUUCCGGAGCUAACGCGUUAAAUCGACCGCCUGGGGAGUACGGCCGCAAGGUUA
This 549-nucleotide ribosomal RNA is filed under the name uncultured bacterium. RNAcentral describes it as "bacterial SSU rRNA". It matches the Rfam family "Bacterial small subunit ribosomal RNA", at positions 355 to 896 of the family's 1533-position model. The record is from RNAcentral.